GGCUCAGGAUGAACGCUAGCGGCAGGCUUAAUACAUGCAAGUCGUGGGGCAGCACAGGGUAGCAAUACUUGGGUGGCGACCGGCAAACGGGUGCGGAACACGUACGCAACCUUCCUUCAGGCGGGGAAUAGCCCAGAGAAAUUUGGAUUAAUACCCCAUAAGAUUUUGAGAUGGCAUCAUCUUAUUAUUAAAGAUUUAUCACCUGAAGAUGGGCGUGCGGCUGAUUAGGUAGUUGGCGGGGUAACGGCCCACCAAGCCUACGAUCAGUAGCUGAUGUGAGAGCAUGAUCAGCCACACGGGCACUGAGACACGGGCCCGACUCCUACGGGAGGCAGCAGUAAGGAAUAUUGGUCAAUGGACGCAAGUCUGAACCAGCCAUGCCGCGUGGAGGAUGAAGGUCCUCUGGAUUGUAAACUUCUUUUAUCUGGGACGAAAAAAGGGUUUUCUAACUCGUCUGACGGUACCAGAUGAAUAAGCACCGGCUAACUCCGUG
Molecule: ribosomal RNA, 493 nt
Filed under: uncultured bacterium
Lineage: Bacteria
Description: bacterial SSU rRNA
Rfam family: Bacterial small subunit ribosomal RNA
Source: RNAcentral